Molecule: long non-coding RNA, 1104 nt
Organism: Condylura cristata (star-nosed mole)
Lineage: Eukaryota; Metazoa; Chordata; Mammalia; Eulipotyphla; Talpidae
Exons: 2
Source: RefSeq, a predicted model, not a curated record
UCGCCGCUGUCUCGGCGCCCUCCCUCCGCAGCUUGACCCGGUAGUGAAGGCUGAGAGAGAGGCAGGCUGGGUCCGCCUGGCAGCCUACGAGAGGAGGCGGGAGCCGGGAAGGAGGGGAGCCCGGGCCUGGCGUGGGGAGGCCGGCAGGAAGGCUGCUGGCCCAGCGCAGACCUUUCUUCAGCCUCCAAGCGGUCGGGAGAUGCGCUGGGCGGUGGCACCCAGAAGACUUCCCUGUUCUCUCAGACGUGGGCUUGCAGCAGAAAUACCGGGACCUGGACUUGGGGCGCACCCACGCGCCUGGUGCUACCGCCAGGGUUCUGAGAGCCUCUCGGAGAGAUUCUGCCGUGAGAAAAAGCGGGCCGGGGGCCGCGUGGGAGUGAAGGUACCCGAUCAUUGAAUUGCCGGAGAAAGCCGGGACGCUGGGAGCCAGGGUGUAGGCGUUGGAGUUCAGAAAGGGGUCCUCCCCUCCUGUUUACUGUGAAGCUUGGCGCAGAGUUCGCAGAAUCCCCCUCAGAGCAGCGGGAAGUUGGAGGCUGUGCGCCCUGACGGCGGGAGCGGGUGGCGGCCCCACCUUCCCCUGUGGGUUCACGGGCCGCAAACGGGGACUUAGGGACGGACUUGAGUUUUGACUAGGCUCAACUUUCCUUGUGAAAGCCGAGGAAGAAAGAGGUCCCUGGAAUGGGGGUGUGGUGCGCGCGAAAGGUGGCGAUCAGUGGUCUCCUCGGAGAAAAGCAGAGUUUAACCCUGGAACUGCGGGGCACCGCCUUGCCUCGGAGGCUUGCACCUGGAGAACUUUAAGCUGACCUCACCCGACUUUAUGGGCUCCUGAGAACAAAAAAGGGCCCUGCGGCCGAGCGCCACGCGCUGUCGGGGCUGGAACUCCACUGGCUGCUACCCGGACUCUUCUCACCGUCAAGUCUGCGGCUGGAAGGAAAGCCUAGAGCACAACUGAAGAGGAAGAACUCAUCUUGCCCACACACUUUGAUUAACGUGGAGAUAAAGGCUUUCCCGUACAGGUGAUGGAGCAAAAUGACAGAAGAGGCUUAGACCCCCUUUCUUCAGACUUCUUGUUGUAUAAGGAAAAUAAAAAUGCAAUUACAAGAU